Molecule: transfer RNA, 60 nt
Filed under: Candidatus Coproplasma stercoripullorum
Lineage: Bacteria; Bacillati; Bacillota; Clostridia; Eubacteriales
Description: tRNA-Met
Rfam family: tRNA
About the family: Transfer RNA (tRNA) molecules are approximately 80 nucleotides in length. Their secondary structure includes four short double-helical elements and three loops (D, anti-codon, and T loops).
Source: RNAcentral
AGCUUAGUUGGUCUAUAGCGGCCGGUUCAUACCCGGCAGGUCGGCGGUUCGAAUCCACCC